RNAcentral lists this ribosomal RNA (468 nucleotides) under uncultured bacterium. Its description in RNAcentral is "partial 16S ribosomal RNA". It matches the Rfam family "Bacterial small subunit ribosomal RNA", at positions 28 to 507 of the family's 1533-position model. The record is from RNAcentral.
GACGAACGCUGGCGGCGUGCUUAACACAUGCAAGUCGAACGGAAAGGCCCUGCUUUUGUGGGGUGCUCGAGUGGCGAACGGGUGAGUAACACGUGAGUAACCUGCCCUUGACUUUGGGAUAACUUCAGGAAACUGGGGCUAAUACCGGAUAGGAGCUCCUGCUGCAUGGUGGGGGUUGGAAAGUUUCGGCGGUUGGGGAUGGACUCGCGGCUUAUCAGCUUGUUGGUGGGGUAGUGUCUUACCAAGGCUUUGACGGGUAGCCGGCCUGAGAGGGUGACCGGCCACAUUGGGACUGGGAUACGGCACAGACUCCUACGGGAGGCAGCAGUGGGGAAGAUUGCACAAUGGGCGGAAGCCUGAUGCAGCAACGCCGCGUGGGGGAUGACGGCCUGCGGGUUGUAAACCGCUUUCGCCUGUGACGAAGCGUGAGUGACGGUAAUGGGUAAAGAAGCACCGGCUAACUACGUG